UGACUAUGGAUAUAACCUACCUGCGCUUCUGAUAAUUGUGCAUGAAGCAUAUGAAAAGAAUGGUCGAUUUCCUCAAUUUGAGCUG
Phoenix dactylifera (date palm) is the source of this 85-nucleotide non-coding RNA. Lineage: Eukaryota; Viridiplantae; Streptophyta; Magnoliopsida; Arecales; Arecaceae. The record is from RefSeq and is a predicted model, not a curated record.